GAUGAAGAACGUAGCGAAAUGCGAUAAGUAAUGUGAAUUGCAGAAUUCCGUGAAUCAUCGAAUCUUUGAACGCACAUUGCGCCCCUCGGUAUUCCGGGGGGCAUGCCUGUCCGAGCGUCAUUGCAACCUUCAAGCGCGGCUUGUGUGUUGGGCUUCGUCCCCCCGUGGACGGGCCUGAAAGGCAGUGGCGGCGCCCGAAUCCGGUGCCCGAGCGUAUGGGAAAUCUUCUCCGCUCAACGUGGCCCGGCGGACGCUGGUCGUUUAACCCGAGGAUCUUGCAUCCUUUCACCGGUUGACCUCGGAUCAGGUAGGGAUACCCGCUGAACUUAAGCAUAUCCAAUAAGCGGAGGA
This 351-nucleotide unclassified non-coding RNA is filed under the name soil metagenome. RNAcentral describes it as "partial contains 5.8S ribosomal RNA, internal transcribed spacer 2, and large subunit ribosomal RNA". The stretch from base 1 to 120 matches the Rfam family "5.8S ribosomal RNA", at positions 35 to 154 of the family's 154-position model. The record is from RNAcentral.